AGUGAACGCUGGCGGUAUGCCUAACACAUGCAAGUCGAACGGCAGCACAGUAAGAUCUUGCCCUUACGGGUGGCGAGUGGCGGACGGGUGAGGAAUACAUCGGAAUCUACUUUUUCGUGGGUGAUAACGUAGGGAAACUUACGCUAAUACCGCAUACUUUCUACCGGAUAAAUCAGGAGAUCUUCGGACCUUGCGCGAUUCUAUUAGCCGAUGUCGGAUUAGCUAGUUGGCGGGGUAAAGGCCCACCAAGGCGACGAUCCGUAGCUGGUCUGAGAGGAUGAUCAGCCACACUGGAACUGAGACACGGUCCAGACUCCUACGGGAGGCAGCAGUGGGGAAUAUUGGACAAUGGGCGCAAGCCUGAUCCAGCCAUACCGCGUGGGUGAAGAAGGCCUUCGGGUUGUAAAGCCCUUUUGUUGGGAAAGAAAAGCAGCAGGUUAAUACCCCGCUGUUCUGACGGUACCCAAAGAAUAAGCACCGGCUAACUUCGUG
This 492-nucleotide ribosomal RNA is filed under the name uncultured bacterium. RNAcentral describes it as "partial 16S ribosomal RNA". It matches the Rfam family "Bacterial small subunit ribosomal RNA", at positions 29 to 507 of the family's 1533-position model. The record is from RNAcentral.